CGGGCAGGCGAGGUUCCCCUGUUUGCAUCAGCCGGGGCGGGAACACCACCGCCGCGCGCCCUGCUCUCCCGGGAGCGGGGUUUCCAGUGACGCGCACAUUCUUCUCCCUCGCUCUGGCUCCUUCCCCUUGGAGGUGUUUCCCUGCGGCUGCCGGGGGACUCGGUCCCCGCGGGCCGCCGGGGGGAAAGUUGCACAGGGGCCGCCCCGGGCCCCGGAUCUCUGGCAGAGACGGGCGGCGGGGCGGGGGCUCUCCAAACCGUGCACGGCGGCGUGUGCCAACCCAAGAGUGCGGGGCUGAGCGGUCCUGGGGGUGCGAAGCGACUGGACUCGGGGCUCAGGGGCGUCCAGAGAAGCCGGCGGGGGGGGCGUGCCCAGGCCCGGGCUGUGCCUCCGUCCCCUCCCGCGAGCAGACUCACGACCCUCCCGCCCCUGAGACGGAUCCCCCGGGGCCCCCGCCUGGCACGGCGAGCGCCGGGAUUCGUGGCGCGGGAGUUGCUGCCCCGGAGCCCGCCGGCCGCGUGCCCCACGCCCCGGCCACGGGCUGCAGCUGCGCCCCGGCUUUGCCCCGCGCCCCGACAUCCCCGCGCCUCCCGCUGCCAAGUGCUGUGCUGCGGACGCGCGCUCCGGCUCUUUAUUUUUUUCCCCUUUUAUUUUCCCCACUAUUGGAGGUUAGAUUUCUUCUCCCCAGCACACGCACACGCACAGGCACGCGCGCGCGCCAAGAUUGGUGCAGUAAAUACUGCCCAGUUUGGGGCAAACCCGCAGGACCAGCCGCGUCUGGAGGCCGCGCGCACCCGCAGGGUUCCCGGGAGCGAUGCGCGCUCGCGCGCUUGUGUGUGUGUCCGUGUGUGCGCGCGUGUGCCUGUGCGCGCGUGCGUGUGUGCGCGUGUGUAUGUGCAUGUGUGUGCAUGUGUGUGUGUGCGUGCGUGAGUGCAUGUGCACGCGCCCCGGGACCGUGCCCACGCGGGGCCCGAGUGUGUGUCGCUGCGGGGAUCUGCGGCCGCGCUCGCACGUUCACGCGCUCGCCGCCACCCUCCCGGGCGGGGCGCCACAACUCGGAGUGACCCCCCCUCCCACCCACCCACACACACACACACACGCUCAGGGACCACCCCCCCUUCCCCGCCGGGCCUCGAAGCUUUGACACGCGCGCGAGUGAGUGGCCGCGGCAAGUUAAAAGGCGGCGGCAAGUGCGCACCCGCGCGGGCGCGGGUCCGGGUCUCCCCGCGGGAAGCCCGACGCUGCUGUGUCCGGCGCGGGGCUCCUGGUGACCGCGAUGCUCACUCUCCUGCCCCGGCCCGGGAGAGAGGACAGUCCCCGGCGGCGCCCUGGGAACGAAUGACCAAACCGCGGGAACGCGAGGACUCGCCCGCCUGUGCUGCCCAGGGGGCCUCCUCCCAGACUCCAGCUCGGCCGCGAGGACUCAAGCCUCUCCCAGAGCUGCAGGCUUUCGGGACCGUCCCUCGGAAACGCCGUGUGGACCCACAGACGGCCGUCUGGACUGGAAGUUCGGGGCGUCUCCUGCAGGUGCCCCUCGCUUUGUCCGAGCUCCUUCCCGCCACGUCUCCGGGGUCCCCCCGAGCGCCAGCCCUUAGGGCUGAGGAGGAUGAGCAUGUCUGAGAGGAUGGACGGGACGAGGUGGUGGUCCCCGGGGACAGCACCGCAUCCUUCCCAGGUCUGAUAUUUCCUGAUGAUUAUCCACGCCAAUCCACGAUGCUGCUUUUUCCUGAGUGAAAUACCCCUUCAUGCACGCAUGGUGAAUUUUCUCAUCAUUCUUUUGGCACUGCCCUACUAGUUCUUAUAAUCACGGACAACAUAAGGAGGCGGUAAUGGGGAUAUUGAUCAAGGAUUCUGCAUGGAGCACCUGCCUUUCCUAGUUGGAAUUUUCAAAGCCCCAACUUAAUGCCUCACAUACACCAGGUCACCUCUGGAAAGAUUCUUCAUAAUAUGCAAAAACUUGAAAUGUGGAUGACCUUAUUAGACAAUAAGACUAGAUUCACAUCAUCAAGACUGUUACGUGUAAUCUGUGGCUUCCUGUGGGUGCAUGGAUAUUUUCAAAUUAGCAUCAACAUAUGCAAGUCAUAGGGCAGACAAUAACAGCAGAACUAACAGUUGACAGUAUCUACCAGGGGCAAUGGCACGUCCCGUUGAACUGAGCAGUUUGAAGACGUGAGCUGGGAGAAUUCAGCCAAAUCCUGGGCCUUCCAUCUCCAGCCGUGCAGUUCCCAGGAAAAGGAAUUCUGGCCAAGUCCGAAUGAUUGCUCUUCUGAGGGCAAGUCUUCCCCAGGAGACUUCUCCCGGGGCCAUGUGAACAGAAGGAAAUGAAUGAUGCCAAAAGUUUCAAGACCUGCCCAGAUAGAUUCCUAGGAGCAUGCUCCACCUGGCCUCAGGGUGAUUACUAACAAGAGUGAAGCUGAGCUCACAGGGAUGAGAGACGAACUGCUCUUCUCGUCGCCAUCAUUUGGGAGAGAAACGUGGGUACCAUUGUCGGUGUCCCUCAAGGUGACUGAUAAUGCUUGAUCUUGUCAAAAAAAAGUUUUGUUUUGUGAUGCUUUAUUUUCCUUUGGGGUUACACCUGGUGGUGCUCAGGGCUGACUCCUGGUUCUACACUCAGGGAUGACUCCUGGUGGUGCUCAGGGGACCAGAUGGUGCCAGGAAUCAAACAGAGGGUUAGUCACAUGCAAGAAAAGUGGCUUAUCCGAGGUACCCGCCCAGUGAUGCACAAAGAAGAACAUAGGGAGAACAAGUGCAAGCCAUGGAAGAGGUCUCGCUAUGUCCAGGUCAUGGAACUCUUGGGUCAGGGCCAAUAACCCAGGGGGACAGAAGCUAAUAUUGAAAGUCCCCAGUUGCACAAGGACUUUCAGCAGGACUGGGACCCCUCAGCUUGGCGCCACAUGGGCUGAGAUGCCCCCAAACCUAGAGGAAUGCUGCCCUGGUCUCUGAGCAACACAAGAUCUCAGGCAAGUUUCUUGCCCCUUCACAAAAUCUCAGUGCUCAGAGGAUAGCUGACGUUAGAGAACGUUUAUCUGGCUGUCAGGGAGGCCUGUGCAGACCCUGUCCACAACUUUUGGCUGUGCGAGAGCAAAAGCUGGGACAGGAGCCUGGACUCCCAGCCACAGACACCGAGAGUGACCUACACUGCCCAGGGCGCAAGGCUCAGGAGUGGAAAGGGCCGUGGCACGUGGUACCUCGGGGGACACACGGAUCACUGAGCAGUGUGCUUAGGCCAGGGACAAGAAGCUUCUCACGUGACAACGGGUAGGCGCCAUUUCCAGGUCUAGGGACAGCAUUGUUCUAUGGCUCUAAGCUGAGAGUCCUCUGGGGGUACCGCAGGACAGGCCUAUACAGCUGGGUACAGCUCCGGGUCUCCGGGUUGCAUGUGGCCUGCAUUAGUUACGCUUCUGUUGGGUGACACUGGUGAAGCUGUGUCUGCACUAGUGGUGCAUGUUCACAGCUUCCCGAGUGUCUGUUACCACCUCACCCUCUGCCUCCACCACCAGCCUCUCCAGCUCUGUCUAGUCCUGCCCCCCACCCCCACCCUGUCUCCAAGUCCCAUUGCUCAGAUUCCACUCUAGAGUCAGAACCCGGGAGUCAGGCUAGAUUUGCCUUUGUCUAUUCUCUUGAUUAUUCCUUACGUCCCAACAAGAGUGAAACCAUCUGGUAGUUGUCUCCCACCUUCUGGUUUAUUUCACCUGUCAUGGCCCCCUCUGGACACCCCCCCGCCCCCAUUUACUGAGGAACCUGAGCUGUGUGGAUUCCUCUGAGUGUACAGAUCACAACUUCUUGCUCUCUCAUCAACUCCCUUUCUCCGUGAGAGGUGCUUGUGCCUGCACAGUAUAGGAUUCAAUAUUCAAUUGUUGUCGCUGAGGGUGAGUGGGAGCCCUAGUUUAAUAGUCCCAAAUCCCCUGGCAUAUUCAAGACCAAGGGGAAGAGGGAAAGGGACUGCCAUGCUCCCUAUGGUAUUUCACAAGGCUUCAGAUUCAAAUAGACAGUAACUCCCUCACCUGGACCUCUGCUGUUCUAGGUCCCUUGGUCAUGGGGCACCGGCCCUGCCAACUUCCCUGUAUAUAUGCAGAACACAGUCCAUUUGCCAGAUAACACAUUUUCCUCCACUUCAUCACUGGUAAGUUUCCCAGAAUUGUUUCUACCAACCUUGCACAGUGGACUCAUUUUAUCAAAUAACCAAGGCUUAUCCAACCAUAUGGACGGCUUGGUCCACUUUAUACUGUGCAGAUAAAUAAAAUAAAUUCCACUUUAGAAUAGAAUUUACAAUGUCCUGUCACGUAAUAAUAUCCACGUGCGCAAAAUACUUUUAAUGAAUUGAGAUACGAGAAAUACUAUUUCACAUUAGUAAAGCCAUCCAGUCCAAGUGUGUCCCCCACUGCUCAAGAUGUCGUUAGAGAGUGACAUAGGUUGGGUUCUUAUCAGAAAUGCAAACUUGUCCGAGAGGAAUAUUAACUUGACAAAACUGAAGCCAAGUUCAACUGAAUAUUUUAUUUUGAUUGCACCGCCAAUGGGUAGCUGUGAGCUGAUUUGAGUCGUUCCUGGAAAUACACAUCCAUUUCUAAAUGGGAGCAAGCCAGGAUAUGAAUAAAUAUCCCAAAUUCAUUCUCAACUAAUGUUCUAUUUAAAUCUUGGCUUAUUAUACAAAUAUUUUAAAAUUAUACUGAAAUGUUUUGGUUGAGAGGGAAUAAAACAAAUCCUAAUAUAUUAGUGAUCUAUUUGCCAAUUUAAUGCAGAAAUACAGAAAUGCUUCUGCAUGCAGCAAGAUUUACUCAAAAUGUAGACAUUUGUAGCAUAUUAUGUGUGUAUUGUAGUAAUAUGUUAUUCAGAUAAAUAGUGUUUUCAAAUUUUCAAUAAUGCUGGUUGGGAGGUAGAAUAAAACACAUUUGCUAUUGUAAAGGACUUUUCCUACCCAUUUUCUCAGAAGUUAGCAUUUUACCAAAAGCAGCUUAACUUCUCUUUGCAGAGAAUUAAACAUUUUAGUGAUAGCAUGUCUGAAAAUAAAGUCUGUUUACAGCUAUUAUUAUAGUCUUUGUUCUCAGAUUAGUAGUUGCUGGUAAGUUUAUCUUCUUUUUUUUUUUUUACAAGUACUUGUAAAUGCUGGUUAUUUGUCUAAGUGAACUCCUGCUGUUUUGUAAAGACAACUAAUUAUUCUGAACCCCAAACACUUUAUUGUCACUUUAAUAACCUAUCACACUUUCUCUUUCAUUCUGUAUAGUUUAUCCAGGUUUCAGUAAGAUUCUUUGAAAGAGUAGGAGGGGCCAGGGAGUUUGGGACCACAGGUGGUAAUGCUCAGGGGUUACUUCUGGUGGUGCUCAGGGGCCUUUCUGGUACUGGAGAAAGAAUCGGGGUUGGCUGCAUGCAAGGCAAGUGCCUUAACACUCAGGCUUGACAAUAGUUAUUAUCAAUUUGUGUGUUUUUUCAGAACUAUAAUUCCUACGUUGGCAUGUACUGUUUCUACUCUUUUUGACCACGUCACAUCUUUUAACACCCUAAAAAUCAGAUUCAAUUAAGAUGGUUUAUUGUCUUCCAAAUGAAUGUUCCUGCUUGGAUUCAAGGUCAUGAAAGAUAAGAAGUGGCCACCUGGCCUGUGGAGGGGCUAAUUCUACUGGUCACUGUGGAUCCUUGAGCUAUGAUUACAAACCCCGGGGUCAGGGGGUAGGAGAGAGGAAGCUACCUUGGUCUUUGGCGUCUUUCUCAGUUGGAUUGAAAUGCCAGGAAAUGAUCAGUGGUUCCCUCUUUGCAACCCAGGAAGAAAGCAUUUACUCAAAAUGUAGAUAUUUGGAGCAUAUCAUGUGCAUUGCAGUAAUAUGUUAUUCAGAUAAAUGGAAACCGACCUAGGAGACAGCGACUCUUUUCAGCUGGACCUUUCCUGGAGGGAAGCGGAAAGCAUCUUCCUCUGGCCCCCAGGCAGCUAGUGGGACUCUCCUCCCACUGAAGACAGACCCCGAGGACACUGCCACAGAACCCACGACAGGCCAAUGAACGAUUGGUGGCUGCUGCCCCACUGAAGUAGAAGUGCAAAGAGAGAGAAGUUGCAGAAGCAGUAGCGGGUGAUUCAAAUGUGCUUUAGAGAGUUGUGGGGUAUCCCUGACGCUGUAUGUAAUGGGUGUUUGAGAAAGAACCCUUCAAAGAUUCUGUCUUGCAAGCACCAGAUAUUUAGGCUGAAGAGAUGGCUCGAGGGCUGGAUGGGGGUGGUUCUGGCCUGCAGGGCCUGGCUUCUUUCCCUCACAGUACUGACACUGGGUGAGUCUCAGAGUCAAAUCCCCCCCUGAGCCUGGCUGGGUCUGGCCCAGAAGGAAGAAUCCAAAAGACAUUCACUCCUAAGAAAAUCGUUUA
Sorex araneus (European shrew) is the source of this 6342-nucleotide RNA transcript. RefSeq lists it as uncharacterized. The transcript is spliced from 7 exons. Lineage: Eukaryota; Metazoa; Chordata; Mammalia; Eulipotyphla; Soricidae. The record is from RefSeq and is a predicted model, not a curated record.